CCUACGGGAGGCAGCAGUGAGGAAUAUUGGUCAAUGGACGAGAGUCUGAACCAGCCAAGUAGCGUGAAGGAUGACUGCCCCAUGGGUUGUAAACUUCUUUUAUAUGGGAAUAAAACGUUCCACGUGUGGGAUUUUGUAUGUACCAUAUGAAUAAGGAUCGGCUAACUCCGUGCCAGCAGCCGCGGUAAUACGGAGGAUCCGAGCGUUAUCCGGAUUUAUUGGGUUUAAAGGGAGCGUAGGUGGAUUGUUAAGUCAGUUGUGAAAGUUUGCGGCUCAACCGUAAAAUUGCAGUUGAAACUGGCAGUCUUGAGUACAGUAGAGGUGGGCGGAAUUCGUGGUUUAGCGGUGAAAUGCUUAGAUAUCACGAAGAACUCCGAUUGCGAAGGCAGUUCACUGGACUGCAACUGACACUGAGGCUCGAAAGUGUGGGUAUCAAACAGGAUUAGAUACCCUGGUAGUC
Molecule: ribosomal RNA, 460 nt
Filed under: uncultured bacterium
Lineage: Bacteria
Description: partial 16S ribosomal RNA
Rfam family: Bacterial small subunit ribosomal RNA
Source: RNAcentral